AUUGAACGCUGGCGGCAUGCCUUACACAUGCAAGUCGAACGGCAGCACGGGUGCUUGCACCUGGUGGCGAGUGGCGAACGGGUGAGUAAUACAUCGGAACAUGUCCUGUAGUGGGGGAUAGCCCGGCGAAAGCCGGAUUAAUACCGCAUACGAUCCACGGAUGAAAGCGGGGGACCUUCGGGCCUCGCGCUAUAGGGUUGGCCGAUGGCUGAUUAGCUAGUUGGUGGGGUAAAGGCCUACCAAGGCGACGAUCAGUAGCUGGUCUGAGAGGACGACCAGCCACACUGGGACUGAGACACGGCCCAGACUCCUACGGGAGGCAGCAGUGGGGAAUUUUGGACAAUGGGCGAAAGCCUGAUCCAGCAAUGCCGCGUGUGUGAAGAAGGCCUUCGGGUUGUAAAGCACUUUUGUCCGGAAAGAAAUCCUUGACUCUAAUACAGUCGGGGGAGGACGGUACCGGAAGAAUAAGCACCGGCUAACUACGU
This 485-nucleotide ribosomal RNA is filed under the name uncultured bacterium. RNAcentral's name for it is "partial 16S ribosomal RNA". It matches the Rfam family "Bacterial small subunit ribosomal RNA", at positions 30 to 506 of the family's 1533-position model. The record is from RNAcentral.